Molecule: ribosomal RNA, 253 nt
Filed under: uncultured bacterium
Lineage: Bacteria
Description: partial 16S ribosomal RNA
Rfam family: Bacterial small subunit ribosomal RNA
Source: RNAcentral
UACGUAGGGUGCAAGCGUUGUCCGGAAUUAUUGGGCGUAAAGAGCUUGUAGGCGGUUUGUCGCGUCUGCUGUGAAAUUUCGGGGCUCAACCCCGAACUUGCAGUGGGUACGGGCAGACUAGAGUGUGGUAGGGGAGACUGGAAUUCCUGGUGUAGCGGUGAAAUGCGUAGAUAUCGAGAGGAACACCUGCGGCGAAGGCGGGUUGCUGGGCUGACACUGACGCUGAAGCGCGAAAGCCAGGGGAGCAAACGGG